GACGAACCGUGCGAACGUUGUUCGGAAUCACUGGGCUUAAAGGGCGCGUAGGCGGGCCGUCAAGUCUGUGGUGAAAUCCUCCAGCUCAACUGGAGAACUGCCGUGGAUACUGGCGGCCUCGAGGAUGGUAGGGGCGUGCGGAACAGUUGGUGGAGCGGUGAAAUGCGUUGAUAUCAACUGGAACUCCGGUGGCGAAAGCGGCACGCUGGACCAUGUCUGACGCUGAGGCGCGAAAGCCAGGGGAGCAAACGGGAUUAGAAACCCCCGUAGUCC
This 273-nucleotide ribosomal RNA is filed under the name uncultured bacterium. RNAcentral's name for it is "partial 16S ribosomal RNA". It matches the Rfam family "Bacterial small subunit ribosomal RNA", at positions 524 to 796 of the family's 1533-position model. The record is from RNAcentral.